UUUUACAAAACAUUUUGAAUUUUUACGAAAUCGCUGGUAUAAAAGACAUCCAAAGUAUUACGAUUAUUAUCUCACUCACCCAUAAGAAGGAUCUUCUAUAUAUGUUUCUUUUUCCUUAAGUUAUGUGGCCUACUAUCAUGUUGGUUGUUUCUGAAGAUGAAGAAUUUAAGGUGUGGACUAUAUCAGAAGCAAGAGGGCUUGUUAAAGGUCCAUUCGGAGCAGGAUGAGGCAGGUUGAAAAUGAAAAAAAUUGUUAUUCGAGACGGAGCAAGGCGGAUGAAAAUUUGGCGGAUUAAGUUCAACCCUGUAACGACCCGUAAAAAGAGCAAGUGAAACUAGCGCCUAACUAAUGUGUGUAAGAGUUUGAUUUGAGGUUUCAUAUGAUAGAAUGUUGUCCCCAUCUAUGAUUGAGGGGCUUAGGGGUCAAGCGUCAAGGUACCACUCCCCAAGGAUCACCCUAAGGGUACUUGAGGAAGACCCUUAGCCUAACCCCCAAUACCCCAAAGAUAACCAAGAGGACCACGCCCCGUAGGUCCAUCCACGCCCUGUGGAUGGCCUCCGUAGGUCAUGGCCCUUAAAUCCAAGACUCAGCCACAAACCACGAUUGACCAGGACGGGGUGUGACCCACAAUGCGUGGUAUGGUGUCUUGAGUUCCCACCUGGUUCGCUUUCUUAGUUCGAUCAAGGCAAGGGUGAUUUUGUAAACUCCUCCUUUGGUCAGUUUAGUUCAUGGACGGUUAUUUUAGGUUAAUUAAAGUAUUUUAAGAGUAAAAAGUGUUAGGCUCUAUUUUCCAAUUCAUUAUUUCAAAACUCAAAAUACAAACCUCCCUUCCCCUCUAAAAGUUCUCUCUCUAGAAUCCUCCAUUAGAAAUGAAGAAUUCAAGCUUUCAAGGUCAAGACUUCACUUUUUUCAAGGGAUUUUACUGGGAUUCUUCUACUAAAGGGAAAGUUAUGAGUAAAUUGAAUGUUGAAGUAGAAAUGGGACUCAAAUGUUGAUCCACUUGAAAGGAUUGGGAGAUGUGAUGUAUUAUACUUUGGAAAAUAGGUUUCAAAGGAGCUUUGAGUUGAAGAUUUGGUAAGUCCUCAUAGUUUCGAGGACAAACUCAUCGUGUUCCCUUAUGUCUUUUAUUAUUAUGUUUAGAGUUUUGUAUGGGUUGUGUCACAAAUUUUAAGUAUUAUGUUUCUAGAUGGUUUGAGACAAUGUAUAUAAAGACUUCCACUUGCUUUUAUAAAAGGGAAACGGAUAAAUAUACCUUCGAAUUAUCGUAAAUGGUAUGUCAAUACCCUUCGUUAUAGUUUAAGAUUGUAUAUACCCUUACUGUCAAUAUUUUGGAUUGUGUAUACCCUUGAAACUAACAGCCGGACACAUGGCUACAUCUCAAUUAUUUACAUAAUUUUUAUUAUAUUUUUAUCCAAAAUUAAUAAACCCACUCAUCAUCCCUAACACAUUUGUAACCCGAAUUAAAACACCAAUGACCAUCUUCCAUAAUUCCCUUCAAACAAUGAUCCAUCUUCUUCAUUCUCUUCUUUAGUUCUCAAAAUUUUGUUGCACGAUUUAAAAAUUAACUAACAUUAGCCAUGUACAUUUUUUUUGUGUUUUAGAGUUCAUGGAUGAUUGUGCACAAAACCAUCAAACAAAUUUUGUGAAUGACCACCCCUAUAGUUGCCGCCUUCUUCUCCAAAGUUCACACAAACAUAUAGAUCAUUAGAGAUGAGAUUUUGGUGUUUCUUUAGAUGGAAUGCAAUACUUUUUUAGGUUGUGUGCGCCUUGAAGAGGCGCCGACAUUGGCCUUGCUUCAUUAAGCUUGUCGAAAAACCACCAAGACGUUCAUUAGUGGUCUGUCGGAGUUCAAACCCUUAGAAUAAGCUGAAAUUUCUUGAGGUAGAUGAUAAGUGGGUGGGGAAUAAACUCCAGAUGUCAAAACUUUACAAACUUUCCCAGAAAUUAGACGAAAUCUCUUGCGACAAUGCAUUAGGCGAUCUCGCCAUAAAUUCUCAAAGCUUCUUCAUUGUUAAUUUUCCUCAUAACAAAUUGAAUUUUGGCGAGGGAGUAGAUCUGACGAUGCUCCAUCCUCUUCACUAGACAGAAUUUGAGUCAAAACACAUGAAUAUGAUAUUGUUGCAAAGGUUUUGAAUUUUAUAUUUAGCUUUAUUAAAAUAUAUUCGAAUUAUUUCAAAAAAGGGUUUUGGGUGGGUUUAAAAUAGAAAUGGGUGGAUUUUCUAAUUUUGGGUAAAACAAUCAUGUUAGUCCUUGAAAUGAAGUCACGUGUUAGGCCGUUAGUAUCAAGGACAUACACAACCCAAAAUAUUGGCGGUAAGGUUAUAUACAACCGUAAAGUAUAACGGAUGGUAUUGACAUACCAUUUACGAUAUUUUGGAGGUAUAUUUAUUCUUUUUACCUAUAUAAAAAUGUCUUCGAAUAUAAAUGAAAAGUUUUUAAUUUAGCUUUGUUUUCCUAUUCUCCUAUGACCAUAAAUGAUAUGAGGCUUGUAUGAAACUUUUUGGAGUCUUGUACACCGUGUCACUUUCAGGGUGUAGGCUAGGGUGGUGACAAACAUGGUAUCAGAGCACAAGAUUUUGUGAAUGGUUUUAGGAUAUCUAAAACCACAUCUAGUAGAGUCUUGUUCAAAGUGUGAAGUGCGCCAGGAGGCUAUUGGGUGUUAGGAAAGUCUCACUUCUUCAUUCUUCAAGUCGUGCCAUAGAGUUUAACUCUAUAAUAUUUUUUUCGCAUUCCUUGUCGGGUGGUCUUUAAGAUAUGAUCACUUGGAAGACUUAUAUUAGGAGGAGUGAGGGAGAAAAUUUGGUUGUGAUGCCAAUUAAGGAUAUGUGACUUGUUAAGAUUUUAGGUGAUAGAUUGUGAUGUUGUCUCUAGUAUGAAUGAGUUGUUUUAUGGUUAUAUGUUUUGUUGGUAGAAAGUUAUGAUGAGAUUUAAGGUAUAUUGAAAGAGUUUAUGAAUAGUGUUGUUUAAGUGAUGCCUAGAGAUGUUGGGUGUGUGACUCUUUUGAAAGAAGGGUAGAAGUGUUAUUCACCUUAGAAAUUGAGAGAAGAGAUGCUUAAGAGAAUUUGUAUAGACUUGCUCCCAAGGGGUAGAUAAUGUGAUUAUAUGGUAAGGUCACUGAGUAACCUAGAUGUACAUGAGCUAGAGUUCUUUUACAUUCUUACCAUAUGAGGAGUGGUGAGUUUGAGAAUUUUAGACCCGAUCUAAUAGACUCAUACGAGACGUUGAGAUGGAGUUGAUGAUUUCUUUUAAUUGUGAAUGUUGUAUUGAGGUUUUUAUAUUGUUUUCAUAGUAACCUUAGUUGGGUUUACUCCUAAGUGUGGAAUGGUAUGAAUAGUAAGGUUGUUGAGAGUAUCCUUGCCUCUUUCCUUUGAUUCCCAUUCAAGCUUGAGACGGGGAGUUCCUUGUAGCUUGUUUUUGUCUUGGAGGCAUGAGUGAUUAUGUGUUCCAUGGCUUCCUUUUGAUAUGCAUGUUCUUAAUGAAUUCUUGGUUAAAUGAGAAAAUGAGUCUAUAUAAUAUAUAUUCCUCAUGUUAAUGUGCAUUUAGUUUGAGUUGCCUCUAUGCUUCAUCACAUGAAUUGUAAAACAUACCUAAAUGUGUUUUUUUAGAGUAAUUACAUAUUUUGCUUGAUGAUGUUAUGAUGAGCAUUAUUUGAGUUGGAGAAGGAAGUUCCUCCAAUAAAUGAGAAAUGAUUAAUUUUGAUGCAUAAUGAGUUUGUAGAUGUAGUUCAUUCUUUCUUGUAUUGCAUUGAGCUUAUUGAUGUGGAGUUGAUGUCUCUUCCUAGUUUUGUGCAUUGUUUAUGAAGUUGCAUGCAUGAUGGGCUGCUGGGCUUGAGUCGUUAACCCUUUAAUGUGUUCUAAGUGUCAUUCGAGGACGAAUGUUUCAAGUGGAGAUAAUGUAACGACCCAUAAAAUGAGUAAGUGGAACUAGAGCCUAACUAGUGUGUGAGAGAGAGUUUGAUUUGACGUUUCAUGUGAUAGAAUAUUGUCUCGAUUUACGAUUGAGAGGUAUAGGGUUCAAGCGUCAAGGUACCACUCCCCAAGGACUACCCUAAGGGUCCUUGAGUUAGACCCUUAUCCUAACCGCCUAGACCCCAAAGAUAAGAAAGAGUUGCCAAAAGCUGAUGACCUACAAAAGGGGACCACGCCCAGUAGGUCCAUUCAUGCCCCAUGGAUGGCCUCCGUAGGUCAUGACCCCCAAAUCCAAGCCUCAUCCACAAACCACGGCUGACCAGGAUGGUGUAUGACCCAGACCAUAGUCCAUGGUUUGGUGUCGUGAGCCCCCACCUAAUUUGAUGUCUUGGUUCAACCAAGGUAAGGGUGAUUUGGUAAAUUCCUCCCUUGGUUAGUUUAGUUCAUGGACGGUUAUUUUAGGUUAAAUAAAGUAUUGGAAGUGUUAGACUCUAUUUUUCAAUUCAUUAUUUCAAAACCCAAAAUACAAACCUCAUUUCCCCGCCAAAAGUUCUCUCUCUUUAAAACUCCAUUGGAGGUGACGAAUUCAAGUUUCUAAGAUCAAUACUUCAAGUUUUUCAAGGUAUUUUCAUGGGAUUCUUCUACUAAAGGUGUGGUAGUCUUGAUCCUUGUCUAAUUUUUCAUUCAAGGAACCAAUUUCAAAAGUGAUUUCAAAUCUUCAAAGUUGAUCAAAAAUCUUAGUUUUCAAUCUUGGCAUGAGUUCAAUUCUAAUCGUUUUUCAAAAGCUUUAUUGCAUUGCAGGAAUCAAUUUAGAUAGUGCUUUGUGGCUCUGGUGGUGACUAGAUCAAUGUGUUAUUGUUUCAAGAUAAAAUCUCAUCGAAGUUCGUUGAAUUAUGAAUCAAUUGUGGAAUUAAAGAUGAAUUUAUGGUGAAUUUCUCCUAGAACCCAUGCUUUUCCCAAAUCUCUAUAUUGUGAAUUGUGAUUGGUGGUUGAUUGAUUAUGAAGAAUGUAUGUUAAAUUGUUUGUGUUUAUAUUGAAUUAGUGUAUUGAAUCAUGUCAAAAAAAAAUUAACUAUGGUAAUAUCUUAGAUCUAUGGGUUGAGAUC
Molecule: non-coding RNA, 5013 nt
Organism: Solanum lycopersicum (tomato)
Lineage: Eukaryota; Viridiplantae; Streptophyta; Magnoliopsida; Solanales; Solanaceae
Source: RefSeq, a predicted model, not a curated record